AAUGAACGCUGGCGGCGCGCCUAAUACAUGCAAGUCGAGCGAGAAGACGUAGCAAUACGUUUGUAAAGCGGCGAACGGGUGAGGAAUACAUGGGUAACCUACCCUCGAGUGGGGAAUAACUAGCCGAAAGGUUAGCUAAUACCGCGUACGCUCCUUGGACUUCGGUUCAGGGAGGAAAGCGAUACCGUGGGUAUCGCGCUCUUGGUUGGGCUCAUGUCCUAUCAGCUUGUUGGUGAGGAACGGCUCACCAAGGCUUCGACGGGUAGCUGGUCUGAGAGGACGAUCAGCCACACUGGCACUGCGACACGGGCCAGACUCCUACGGGAGGCAGCAGUAAGGAAU
RNAcentral lists this ribosomal RNA (342 nucleotides) under uncultured bacterium. RNAcentral describes it as "bacterial SSU rRNA". It matches the Rfam family "Bacterial small subunit ribosomal RNA", at positions 29 to 362 of the family's 1533-position model. The record is from RNAcentral.